UCCGUAGGUGAACCUGCGGAAGGAUCAUUCAUAAUAAGUGUUUUAUGGCACUUUUUAAAUCCAUAUCCACCUUGUGUGCAAUGUCAGUCGAUCUUCUUCAUGGAGAUCGACCAAACAUCAACCUUUAUUUUUUAACUCUUUGUCUGAAAAAUAUUAUGAAUAAACAAUUCAAAAUACAACUUUCAACAACGGAUCUCUUGGCUCUCGCAUCGAUGAAGAACGCAGCGAAAUGCGAUACGUAAUGUGAAUUGCAGAAUUCAGUGAAUCAUCGAAUCUUUGAACGCAUAUUGCGCUCUUUGGUAUUCCGAAGAGCAUGCUUGUUUGAGUAUCAGUAAACACCUCAAAGCUUUUGGAUUUUUUAAUCGAAAAGCUUUGGACUUGAGCAAUCCCAACACCAAUCUUUUUGAGAUCGGUGGCGGGUUGCUUGAAAUGCAGGUGCAGCUGGACAUUCUCCUGAGCUAAAAGCAUAUUCAUUUAGUCCCGUCAAACGGAUUAUUACUUUUGCUGCAGCUAACGUAAAGGGAGUUUGACCGUGUUGGCUGACUGAUGCAGGAUUUCACAAGGGUCGGCAACGAUUCUUGUUAAACUCGAUCUCAAAUCAAGUAAGACUACCCGCUGAACUUAAGCAUAUCAAUAAGCGGAGGAAAAGAAACUAACAAGGAUUCCCCUAGUAACGGCGAGUGAAGCGGGAUGAGCUCAAAUUUAAAAUCUGGCUGGUUUACUAGUCCGAAUUGUAGUUUAUAGAAGCGUUUUCGGUGGCAGCCUGGGUAUAAAUCCUUUGGAAUAGGGUAUCAUAGAGGGUGAGAAUCCCGUCUUUGACUCAGUGCAUGCUACUAUGUGAUACGUUUUCAAAGAGUCGAGUUGUUUGGGAAUGCAGCUCAAAAUGGGUGGUAAAUUUCAUCUAAAGCUAAAUAUUGGCGAGAGACCGAUAGCGAACAAGUACCGUGAGGGAAAGAUGAAAAGGACUUUGAAAAGAGAGUUAAACAGUGCGUGAAAUUGUUGAAAGGGAAACGCUUGAAGU
This 1021-nucleotide small RNA is filed under the name uncultured fungus. Its description in RNAcentral is "eukaryotic LSU rRNA". The stretch from base 589 to 1021 matches the Rfam family "Eukaryotic large subunit ribosomal RNA", at positions 1 to 429 of the family's 3401-position model. Lineage: Eukaryota; Fungi. The record is from RNAcentral.